GACGUAGGAGGCGAGCGUUAUCCGGAUUCACUGGGCGUAAAGCGCAUGUAGGCGGCUAUGCAAGUCGUGUGUUAAAGCCCCUGGCUCAACUGGGGGAGGUCAUGCGAGACUGGAUGGCUUGAGGGCAGCAGAGGCACGUGGAACUCCCGGUGUAGCGGUGGAAUGCGUAGAGAUCGGGAAGAACACCAGUGGCGAAGGCGACGUGCUGGGAUGCCCCUGACGCUGAGAUGCGAAAGUGUGGGGAGCAAACGGG
Molecule: ribosomal RNA, 253 nt
Filed under: uncultured bacterium
Lineage: Bacteria
Description: partial 16S ribosomal RNA
Rfam family: Bacterial small subunit ribosomal RNA
Source: RNAcentral